CAGGGUGUGGGGUGGGAGUCUCCCACUGAGAAAAGGGAGCAAGCUUUGGGUUCUCUCAGAACUACUGACAAGAACCAUGUUGUGACAUGGUAAUGAAAACCCCAACCACGGAGAGACCAUCCUGGUGAGAUUUUACGAUCGCCGGUUCCUCGUCCUCUGUUUUGGAAGACUUUCAUAACACUCAAAGAAUUGCUGUCAAGGACAGAGUUUGUUGGGAAAAAAAAUUGAAGUGUUUGGUCUCUAGCAAAGAAUGACAACAUAGGAGCGUCUGAGUGAAUAAGGAAGAAUUAAGAAACUAAGUUAAAAUACUUGGACUGAAUGCUUCAUUUGUGCCUGUCAGGAUUCUAAGCAGUUUAUGUGUAUUAUUGACUCAUGGAGUUGUCGAGGAGGAAGGUGCCAUUAUUAUCCUCAUUUUUCUGAUAAGGAAACUGAGGCACAGAGAAGUUAAGCCACUUACCAAAGCUCACACCGCCAAUGAAGGUGGACUUGGCUUCAUAUUCCACGUUCUGAAACCACUAAGCGAGACUACACAUAUAUUCUGAGGAGGAGCUUGGAGCUGAGGCUCACGCUUGAGGAAGUUCACGGGCUGAGCUAUAAACUCAUCACAGUACAACUUAGUGAGAAGCUCCGUACUACCUGUAACGGGAUGCUGUCGUUUACUUACAAAUAUGUUUCCGUACUCCCUGUGUUUAAAAGGAGAUAUUAGCUAUGACUAACACACGUCCUUCAAAUCUGUUAGAGUGGUAUUUCUCUAGAAGGAUGAUCAGUUCAUCAAGGGGGAAGAUAUCCACCAAGCAUCGAGAGACAGGGGAGCCUCUGAAAGCAAAUGGGGAGAGCCUUCCCAGAACUACAUUUGGCAGAAGCCCGACACUCAGAGCUCACAGAGAAGAAUAGCCAUUGUGUCACAGCUCCACUGAGCCUCAGCACAACCCCUACCAUCUGGACAUGUGUGUCUGGUGGCGGCAGAGUUAGGAAAGGCCUAGGUCCUGCUGCUCUUUAGAAAGACCUGACCAACACUGUCUGAAGUAUAAUCCACUUCUUACGGGGUUCUUCCUAUGCCUGUGUAUAUUUUAGCAUUGUGUCUGUACUUGAAUUUACCUUCCAAACCAGGGGUGAAUUUUCUGUUGCUACUGUCAAUAUUUAAAAAAUAAGUCUUUUUUAUGUUUAUUUUUCAAAGC
Molecule: long non-coding RNA, 1178 nt
Filed under: Ursus maritimus (polar bear)
Lineage: Eukaryota; Metazoa; Chordata; Mammalia; Carnivora; Ursidae
Description: lncRNA (ENSUMAG00000022233.1)
Source: RNAcentral